This 497-nucleotide ribosomal RNA is filed under the name uncultured bacterium. RNAcentral describes it as "partial 16S ribosomal RNA". It matches the Rfam family "Bacterial small subunit ribosomal RNA", at positions 28 to 507 of the family's 1533-position model. The record is from RNAcentral.
GAUGAACGCUGGCGGCGUGCCUAAUACAUGCAAGUCGAGCGAACAGAUGAGGAGCUUGCUCCUCUGACGUUAGCGGCGGACGGGUGAGUAACACGUGGAUAACCUACCUAUAAGACUGGGAUAACUUCGGGAAACCGGAGCUAAUACCGGAUAAUAUAUUGAACCGCAUGGUUCAAUAGUGAAAGACGGUUUUGCUGUCACUUAUAGAUGGAUCCGCGCCGCAUUAGCUAGUUGGUAAGGUAACGGCUUACCAAGGCAACGAUGCGUAGCCGACCUGAGAGGGUGAUCGGCCACACUGGAACUGAGACACGGUCCAGACUCCUACGGGAGGCAGCAGUAGGGAAUCUUCCGCAAUGGGCGAAAGCCUGACGGAGCAACGCCGCGUGAGUGAUGAAGGUCUUCGGAUCGGAGAACUCUGUUAUUAGGGAAGAACAAAUGUGUAAGUAACUAUGCACGUCUUGACGGUACCUAAUCAGAAAGCCACGGCUAACUACGUG